Molecule: ribosomal RNA, 614 nt
Filed under: Aspergillus amstelodami
Lineage: Eukaryota; Fungi; Ascomycota; Eurotiomycetes; Eurotiales; Aspergillaceae
Description: eukaryotic LSU rRNA
Rfam family: Eukaryotic large subunit ribosomal RNA
Source: RNAcentral
GCAUAUCAAUAAGCGGAGGAAAAGAAACCAACCGGGAUUGCCUCAGUAACGGCGAGUGAAGCGGCAAGAGCUCAAAUUUGAAAUCUGGCCCCUCCGGGGUCCGAGUUGUAAUUUGUAGAGGAUGCUUCGGGUGCGGCCCCCGUCUAAGUGCCCUGGAACGGGCCAUCGGAGAGGGUGAGAAUCCCGUCUGGGACGGGGUGUCCGCGUCCAUGUGAAGCUCCUUCGACGAGUCGAGUUGUUUGGGAAUGCAGCUCUAAAUGGGUGGUAAAUUUCAUCUAAAGCUAAAUACUGGCCGGAGACCGAUAGCGCACAAGUAGAGUGAUCGAAAGAUGAAAAGCACUUUGAAAAGAGAGUUAAACAGCACGUGAAAUUGUUGAAAGGGAAGCGCUUGCGACCAGACUCGCUUCCGGGGUUCAGCCGGCUUUCGGGCCGGUGUACUUCCCCGGGGGCGGGCCAGCGUCGGUUUGGGCGGCCGGUCAAAGGCCCCUGGAAUGUAACGCCUCUCGGGGCGCCUUAUAGCCAGGGGUGUCAUGCGGCCAGCCUGGACCGAGGAACGCGCUUCGGCACGGACGCUGGCAUAAUGGUCGUAAACGACCCGUCUUGAAACACGGACC